GGACGUCAUCCCCACCUUCCUCCGGUUUAUCACCGGCAGUCACCUUAGAGUGCCCAACUGAAUGCUGGCAACUAAGAUCAAGGGUUGCGCUCGUUGCGGGACUUAACCCAACAUCUCACGACACGAGCUGACGACAACCAUGCACCACCUGUCACCGCUGUCCCCGAAGGGAAAACUCUAUCUCUAGAGCGGUCAGCGGGAUGUCAAGACCUGGUAAGGUUCUUCGCGUUGCUUCGAAUUAAACCACAUGCUCCACCGCUUGUGCGGGCCCCCGUCAAUUCCUUUGAGUUUCAGUCUUGCGACCGUACUCCCCAGGCGGAGUGCUUAAUGCGUUAGCCGCAGCACUAAGGGGCGGAAACCCCCUAACACUUAGCACUCAUCGUUUACGGCGUGGACUACC
This 400-nucleotide unclassified non-coding RNA is filed under the name uncultured fungus. Its description in RNAcentral is "sequence contains ITS1". The record is from RNAcentral. Lineage: Eukaryota; Fungi.